RNAcentral lists this long non-coding RNA (273 nucleotides) under Panicum hallii. RNAcentral's name for it is "long non-coding RNA (PHAL_LNC000428)". Lineage: Eukaryota; Viridiplantae; Streptophyta; Magnoliopsida; Poales; Poaceae. The record is from RNAcentral.
GGGGGGAGCAGGUGGGAGCGGAGGGGGGCGUGCGGUUAGUGAACAUGGGAGGGGAGUGAUUUUAUUAGGUUAAUUUAUUUUCAAUUUCGCACUGGUAGUAGGUUUUUUCAAUCUAUGCGCAACAAGAAUCGGAUUAUUUACUCCAUUCCUGAUAGAGUUCGUCGACCAGACGGCACUACAACGGCAGAUGAGCAGAAUCGGUCCACGAAUCUCUAUCACCUACCAGACAGACCAUGAAUAUGAAUAUAGUGUGCCCUGAGGUACAGUUCCAAA